UGCGUAUAUAAGCGUGCGCGAGCUGCUCGAUUCCAGUCUGACGCAGCUGUCGGAGGCAACAUGUCUGGUCGUGGCAAGGGAGGCAAGGGGCUUGGUAAAGGGGGCGCCAAGCGGCACAGGAAGGUUCUCCGGGAUAACAUCCAGGGCAUCACUAAGCCCGCUAUCCGCCGUCUGGCUCGGCGUGGGGGCGUCAAGCGUAUCUCGGGUCUCAUCUACGAGGAGACCCGCGGGGUGCUGAAGGUGUUCCUGGAGAACGUGAUCCGGGACGCCGUCACCUACACCGAGCACGCCAAGAGGAAGACGGUCACCGCCAUGGACGUGGUCUACGCCCUUAAGCGCCAGGGCCGCACUCUCUACGGCUUCGGCGGCUAAAUCUGCAGCAUUUUAGCUGGCCAGCCUGCCACGGAAAACCAAAGGCCCUUUUCAGGGCCAACCACAUUCUUUUAAAAGAGCUGAAUGCUGAUGCAAAGGCUAGAUUUCCAAGCAGUAGGUGGGCUAAUUGACUAUUGGUAGAACUCUUGGUCUCUAACCAGUCAUCUCGUGAGCCAAGAAACUGGCUGAAUCGCUAAAUUCUCGAUGAAAGCGUCCUGAUCUAAACCGGCUCAAGCUGGCUAGGGUCAAUGAGCAUUUUUUUAGGUAAGCGUAUUUGGGGGAACUGGUGGGCAAGUAAUAUGGUUUUUUAAGACAAUCUGCCGAAAUAUGUAAAUCCUUGAUCCUCGGUUUUGUUUCCCGAGAAAUAAUGCAACUCUAAAGUAACUUUAGAAAUUGUAUAGUUGGCUCAUUUCUAAUUGAUCCAUUAUCAUCCCACCCACCAUAUAAGGAAAAGUAACAGCAAGAACCAAUCUGGACUAAAAGCUUUGUAUAAGGGGGUUUGGGGAAGGGGUUGGGCAGUGCUUGUUUAUUUAAUCACUCUACUGUAAUCUCGGCUUUUCCUCAUUCUGGAUUUCCGCUUCUCUGGAGAUUUUAAUAAAAACUUUCUACCUUCACUUUGAGAGGUCUCUAAGUAGUCAAUUUUGAGUUAGGGUCUCCCUACUCCAUACAGUUUGGGGGUAUCACGUGACUCCGGGAUCACCUGGAUCGGCAGAACGACCAUCCCCCCAUUUGCAAGCAGGAGACCUUGGGACUCUGUUCCUGCGGUCUCCGGAGCGGAGGGGUGUUUCUCCUCUCUAUUGCAGCAAAGUGCCCAAAGAGAAGGGACUCGGUGAAGGAGAAAGUGAAAGUCACUGAUCCAAAGCUCUGUGUUUAAAUGUUGAUUGAUCUUGCAGUCAGGAAAACUUAAGGGACUCGGUGAAGGAGAAAGUGAAAGUCACUGAUCCAAAGCUCUGUGUUUAAAUGUUGAUUGAUCUUGCAGUCAGGAAAACUUAACACUCUUGUAACCAGAAGGUAAGCACUCGGAAGUUUGGGGAUCAAUUGGCUGGAUCUAGGGAGAGCCUCUCGCGUAAAUUGUGUGGUGAAAUGGACUGCAAACGACCCUACGGGGGGAGGGAAAGAACUCUCCGAGAACCUAUCAAGUGACUGCCCUGUUGGGAUAAUUUGGAAUGCAGAGGAAUCUAAGGACGGUCCUUGUCAAAUUAUGGGGAAAGCGCAGUCCAAAACCCCAAAUCAGGAACAAUGUGAGGAAGUCCAGAUUAAGAGCCCCCUGGAGAAUAGGGUACAGAACUGGAAUGAGUUACCAAAAUAUAACGGAAAAGAAAAGAAAAUGAUAAAAUAUUGUUAUUUUGUAUGGGGUGGCAAAGGAGUAAUUUGGCCAAGAUAUGGAUCCACUGAGGGUUGGGUAUGCUAACAAUUGAAUUUACAUGUAAAUGAAAAAGAUCCCUUUAAUCCGGAGGAAGCAAUUUAUGCAAGUCUCUGGCUUUCCUGGACAGAGAUGCCUUUAUUUUAGAGUCAAAAGAAGGAGGUGAAUAAGCCACCGGUGACAAAGCUGGAGAUUCCACCUCACCCCUGGGAUGCCCCGCUUGUCAUCCCGCCUCCUUGUACUCUGCCAUCCCCAGCACCUCCAGUGGCAGCAGGGCUCCCCCAGGCUCCCCCACUGAAGCAAUCUGGACCAACUGAGCCCCCUCUUAAUGAUCUGGGGACCCUGGGAGUCGCAGAAACUAGGGAAGGACACAUUGAGGAAAGAAUGAGGAGGAAAUUGGAACAACGGAGGAAAGAUGUAGAAAAUCUUUCCUUUAUAAAGCCUGAUACUGGGAAAAUCAAAAUGUAUCUUCUCAGAGAGGUUUCUUUAGGGAGACCACAAGGGGGAGGGAAUAGGAUUUGUUAAUGCCCCCUUGACCUGGACUUGAUUAGGAACUUCAAAAGGGAUUUAAAAUCUUAUCAUGAAGGGGCCGCAAGGGCCUCCAAACAGUUAAACCAGUUUUGGGGACCAAGUGUUUAUACAUGGAGUGAGCUCUUACAUAUAUUGAACAUGUUAUUCACCCAAGAGGAGAGAGUAGCAAUUAGAAAAGCAGCCAUGGAAAAAUGGGAAAGACAUUACCAGCUCACAGAUGGGGUCAUGACAGCAGAACAAAAGUUUCCCCUUGUUAAUCCAGAGUGGGAUAAUAAUAAUCCCCUCUAUAGACAGAACAUGCAAGAUCUAAGAGAGCUAAUCAUUACUGGGAGUAAGAACUCAUUCCCAAAGCCCAAUAUUAAUAAGGCAUUAGAAAUAAUUAUGCAAGAAAAGGAUCAAUCCCCUUCUAAAUUCUUAGAAUGGCUAAAAGAAGUGAUUCAGGAAUACUCAGAAUUGGAUCCAGAGGAUCUGGUAAGGGAAGGUAUAAUAAAAUUACAUUUUGUUUGCAACUCAUGACCAGACAUUAAUAAAAAGUUGCAGAAAUUAGAAAGAAGGGGUUGCAAGCCCUUAAAGAAAUUACUGGAAGAGGCUACAAAAGUAUAUAAGGGAAGAGAUGAGAGAGAGAGGCAGAGAGAUAAGAGAGUUAAAAAGCUGGUUCAGAUCAUACUGGAAUCAAAGGGAUAUGGGAGAGGGUGGAAUCCUGACUGAGUAAAUGAAAAGUUCUAACAGAAUAAGGGGAGAGCAAGACCCUCCCGAGGUAGGGAGGAAGGGAGACAAAGAGUAAGAGGCCCAUUAACAUGCUGGACUUGUGGGAGAACUGGCCAUCUUUCCAGGAAUUGUCCCCAAUGGAAG
Molecule: long non-coding RNA, 3118 nt
Filed under: Sarcophilus harrisii (Tasmanian devil)
Lineage: Eukaryota; Metazoa; Chordata; Mammalia; Dasyuromorphia; Dasyuridae
Description: lncRNA (ENSSHAG00000028035.1)
Rfam family: Histone 3' UTR stem-loop (bases 411-455)
Source: RNAcentral